Molecule: ribosomal RNA, 460 nt
Filed under: uncultured bacterium
Lineage: Bacteria
Description: partial 16S ribosomal RNA
Rfam family: Bacterial small subunit ribosomal RNA
Source: RNAcentral
CCUACGGUGUGCUGCAGUGAGGAAUAUUGGUCAAUGGACGAGAGUCUGAACCAGCCAAGUAGCGUGAAGGAUGACUGCCCUAUGGGUUGUAAACUUCUUUUAUAUGGGAAUAAACUGUUCCACGUGUGGGCUUUUGUAUGUACCAUAUGAAUAAGGAUCGGCUCACUCCGUGCCAGCAGCCGCGGUAAUACGGAGGAUCCGAGCGUUCUCCGGCUUUAUUGGGUUUAAAGGGAGCGUAGGUGGAUUGUUAAGUCAGUUGUGAAAGUUUUCGGCUCAACCGUAAAAUUGCAGUUGAAACUGGCAGUAUGGAGUACAGUAGAGGUGGGCGGAAGUCGUGGUGGAGCGGUGAAAUGAUUAGAUAUCACGAAGAACUCCGAUUGCGAAGGCAGCUCACUGGACUGCAACUGACACUGAGGCUCGAAAGUGUGGGUAUCAAACAGGAUUAGAUACCCAAGUAGUC